Yamadazyma jaroonii is the source of this 72-nucleotide non-coding RNA. NCBI's taxonomy places the organism in Eukaryota, Fungi, Ascomycota, Pichiomycetes, Serinales, Debaryomycetaceae. The record is from the annotation of a GenBank genome assembly.
GGGGAUGUGGUCUAGUGGUAUGACAUUUGCCUUGCAAGCAAAAGGCCAUCGGUUCGAUUCCGGUCUUCUCCA